RNAcentral lists this non-coding RNA (102 nucleotides) under uncultured eukaryote. The record is from RNAcentral.
UCCUUUUUUUCUUUUUUUCUUUUUUCUAAUGAACCAGUUUAUUUAUUUAUUGAGAAUUUUUUGAUUGCUUUUUAAAAUAGGCGAAGGGCGGACUGAAGCCCG